UAAUUAAAAAUAUAUCUUAGAUAAAUCUCAAUCAAGUUCUAAUUUAAUCAUAGUUGAAAUCCUAAUAUAUUUCAAUAAAAUUCUAGAAAAACUCUAAAUCCUAAACCAAAACAUAAAUCAAACCUUAGACAAAUCUUAAAUCCUAAAGCAAAUCCUAAAUCAAAUCCUAAAUAAAACCUUAGACAAAUCCUAAAUCCUAAACCAAAUCCUAAAUUAUACCUUAGAUAAAUCCUAAACUUUAAACCAAAUCCUAAAUUAAACCCUAAAAAAUUCCUAAAUCCUAAAUCAAAUCUUAAACCAAAUCCUAAACCAAAUCCUAAAUCUUAAAGCAAACCCUAGAUCAAAUUCUAGAUUCUAAAUCAAAUCCUAAACCAAAUCCUAGACAAUUCCUAAAUCCUAAACUAAAACCUAGACAAAUCCUAAAUUCUAAAUUCUAAAUCAAAUCCUAGAAAAAUCCUAGAAAAAUUUCAAAUCCUAAACUAAAUUCUUGAUAAAUCAUAAAUCCUAAAUCAAAUCCUAAAUAAAUUUUAAAUUAUAAAUUCUAAAUCAAAUCUUAGAAAUUUUUUUAAAAAAAAUUAAAUCCUAAACCAAAUCCUAAAUCAAAUCUUAGAUCUUAAUCCAAAUUCUAAACCAAACCCUACACAAAUCCUAAAUCCUAAAUCCUAAACCAAAUCCUUAAUAAAUUCUAAAUUCUAAACUAAAUCCUAAAAAAACCUUAAAAAAAUCUCAAAUCCUAAAUCAAAUCCUAAAUAAAUUCUAAAUACUAAACC
Molecule: long non-coding RNA, 770 nt
Filed under: Physcomitrium patens
Lineage: Eukaryota; Viridiplantae; Streptophyta; Bryopsida; Funariales; Funariaceae
Description: long non-coding RNA (PPAT_LNC008019)
Source: RNAcentral